This 253-nucleotide ribosomal RNA is filed under the name uncultured bacterium. Its description in RNAcentral is "partial 16S ribosomal RNA". It matches the Rfam family "Bacterial small subunit ribosomal RNA", at positions 524 to 776 of the family's 1533-position model. The record is from RNAcentral.
UACGUAGGGUCCGAGCGUUGUCCGGAAUUACUGGGCGUAAAGAGCUCGUAGGUGGUUUGUCGCGUUGUUCGUGAAAACUCACAGCUUAACUGUGGGCGUGCGGGCGAUACGGGCAGACUUGAGUACUGCAGGGGAGACUGGAAUUCCUGGUGUAGCGGUGGAAUGCGCAGAUAUCAGGAGGAACACCGGUGGCGAAGGCGGGUCGCUGGGCAGUAACUGACGCUGAGGAGCGAAAGCGUGGGGAGCGAACAGG